CCCACCUCCUGCGACCCGCCGCGCCCCCUGGCCUCCACCUCCGGCGACCCACCACGCCCCCUUCUCCCACCUCCGACGCCGGGCCACGCCCCCCAGCUCCCACCUCUGACGAGGCGCCACGGCCCUGCCUCCCACCUUCGGCGAUGCGCCACGGCCCUGCCUCCCAUCUCCGGCGACGCGCCGCCCCUGAACCCCGUCUCCUCUCUCGCGCCGCCCCCACUAGCCCCAGAACGCGGGCGUCCCUCCCACGGAGCCAAGCUCGCGCACCGCCGUCCCUCCCACCGCGCCGAGCUCGCACUCCAUCGCCGCUGGUGCCCCCAUCCUCGCGCCGUCCGUGACCCCUCCACUACACUCCUCUGCUGCAGGAACACGUCAGUUCGUGUGGAGCAUAACAGUCCGUCAGUUUGAUAGUUCGUCAGUUCGCCGAUGGGAUCCGCAGCGGCAGCAAUGCUCGCUCCCCAAUGGUUGCCCGCGCAAUGAGGAUACAGGGAGGCGACAGUGGUGGAGUCAGCAGCGUUCCAUGGCCUUUGUCUUCCUCGUCGCAUCUUUUCUUAUAAACAGCGAGAAGAAAACGAGGCAUAGGCUUCAUGCUCUCCAUCUCCUGGUAAAGGGAAGUUAAGCUCUACGGCCACUUGGAUGUGGAUGCUCACGCUCCUCCACUGGGUGAGCUCCCAGGGCACCACGGGGAUUGAUAUUGUCAUCUCUAUCCCUCGGCCAUGAGGGCCAAGAGGUUGCCUGCACCCUGCUGAGUGAAAUGCCACUUCCGACCAGCACCUGGCCUGAUGCCGUACGUAGACCGCCGUGCUUUUUAAGAUUGCCUGUAUGCCUGUACAUGAAAAAUCUCAACAAUUCUGUUUCUUGUCUACAUGAUUUUGUGCUAGCUUAUCACAAGUUCACAUUGCAUGCUCAAUGUAGUAGCUAGAUGAAGAAAAGUUAUUGUUCUGUAGCUUUGGUCUUACCAUUGUGGUGCUUGUGUUAUUGCGUGGGAAAAUGAAAGAAAGGAGUAUUUUUGCAAAUCAAUGAAUGACAACAAAGUUUGCUGUUUCCCCACCCAAUUUAGAGCUCCAAAAAAGUUCAGAGUUCAGAGUAGUUGUUUGGAGAUGAACAAUAAAUAAGUAUAAUAAAACAAAAGAAAAAUUUGUAAAAAGUACGACAAAGUUCACUAUGCAUUUCACCAUCAGUACAUAAAGAAAUAUUAUAUAAAAUUCCCUGCUCACAGACUAUAUUUAUAGCCUAAUGGUUAGUGUCAAAAUGUGUUGUUCUUGUUUCUUUAUGGUUGCUUCUUUAUUAUAUGAAUAUGAAUGUGCUAGCUAGCUUAAGCUUAGCAAUACCUUUUGGAGUCAAUAGGUGUAGCUCAAAUAAUUCUUGGGCCAUUUUGUCAUAACAAUAAGGCAGGACAUGCUAACAAGAUGAUGAAACCAUGUAUAUAUAACUUGAUGACUGUCCAAAUUGAGAAAAUCCUGAAAUAUGAUAUGUGCUCUCUUUGUAUCAGUUCUUAUGCUUGUGACAAUUCUGCACUCAUAAUGUGCUCGGUAACUAGAAAAAAAUACAUAAGUUCGAAAUAUACUUACCAUGUUUAUUCAGUGUUUUUUCAGUGGUUAUUGGUUUCCUCUUGAGCAGAUGAACUACAUUGUCACAUUAAACUGCAGGGAGAUGUUCCCUCAGUCCUCUCUCGACAAAUCCAACAGUACAGGUUCUCCGGCGCGCCAAGUAUUGCCGGCGGCGAUGCCUGCAUCAUGGCCCAUUGAGGAGAUCAUGCCCGUCAGUUGUAGGUUUUUCUGUUUGCACAUUUAUUUGUUUAGCUUUAAAUUUUGUUGUUUUCCACAUCUGAUACUUGUGUUAAUGCUUCUAUGUGUGCACUUCUGAUCCCAUUGUGAGUAAAAAGACAAGUGAGAUAAGUACUUAUUUGGAAAGUUUGCAAGUUCAAACACAAAAACCUAGAAGUUCAUUGAAAAAGUUUGGUGUGGUCUUCUCCACCACGAGCCCCAGCGUGGAUCACCUGCAGCAGCCAAAUCCCGGCGCGCCCAGCCACUGCUCGUGAACCCCGCCUCCAUCAGCUCCACUCACCGGAGCCGUCAGUCCGCAGGAGUAGGGGUAGCAGGUUCACCCGACGUACUUGGUGGUGCAGACUUGGUAGCGGUUAUAUUUUGGUUCGAUUAUAUAUCAACAACAGUGCAAUGACUGAAAGAUCAUCAGUCCAAAAUAUAUGCAGGCACCAAAUUCUGCUACUGCUCCGACCACUCAUGCCAAGAAAAGGGAGCACAAUUCGCAAGGUUCAGAGCAAUCUGUCAUAGUUGAUUCAGUGUCUAGGUCUAGUGGAAUCCCCAAGGUGCGUGCAGAUUUAUGAAAUUACUAUGUACGGGGUGAGUUUUGUUUGUUGUGAGUAAUGGACUAAUGGUUAUCUGCUGCUCCUUUUUGUCAAGAAUUUGUAACGAGUUUCAGUUCUGAUUUCACUCGCUCACAGUACCAUUGUUCUUCAUAGCACACCACCUGUUUGUGCAAAUACCUAUGAGAGGAUACCAUACAAUGGAGAUGAAAAGGUGUGUUCAAAAUAAUGUCAGACAACCUGCUCCUUUCAAACAUUUUGGAUAAGUGCAGAAAUGAACGUUUGCAAGUUCAAAACAGCUAGUUCAAUAAGUUUGGGGAUUUUAUAUUAUAUGGCAUUUGGGGAUUUUGCAGCAGUUUGCCAAUAAAGGUUUACACCUCUUCAGAUUAUGAAAAGCUAGUAAGUUCAGACUCUGGAAGGAGAGAUCAUCGUUUGUUAAGGUCUGGUGUUUAGUUGGUGGUUAUGUGGUACCUACACCGUCACUUUUCAUCAAGACCUCAAGAAGAGAUAUCAUCUCAAGGUGAAAAAAAAUAUCCUUUUAUUGCUCUCUUUCUUCUCUCACUCAUUCAUCUUAUUAUAUGCACACAAAAUUCAUGUCAUCUUGAAUUUGUUACACUGGUGCGGGAGCAAAAAACAGAUGCACAAGUUCAUCUUCAGUGACACGCUAAGUUCAAAUUCUAAUUUUUAGUUAGUAUAAUUCUUAUUUUUUUAGUUCAGCGCUGAUUUCUGACUUCCUCGGCCAUCACCACCACCUCAUGUAAGUUCGCUGCCGAGAACAAGCACGACCACCUACAGUCUCCGGUGGUCGCCUUGGCUACCCUCGGCCACGAGCUCGUCCACCAUGGUUAUUCGCACCCGUCCAAGUGGAGCACGGACAUCAGUCCAUGUAGAAUUGAAGCCACCAUCUUCACAAAGCAGAAUAGUUGUGCUAGUUCAAUUUUUUCAGUCCAUAUUAUGUGUGCUAUUCAGUACAUCUAAUGCCAAAGUACAAUUGCCUCAUCUUCAUAUAACAUUCAGGAAUUCAAUUUAUAAUGUUGUUUACUGUCCUAUUUUUUUGGUACCAGUAACCUUCCUAUAUACAUAUGCAGCAUCAGUUCAGCCGCUGUUAUGGUAAUAAGUACUCCCUCCGUCCCAUAAUACAAGACGUUUUUGGAGUUCAAAUUGAACUGCAAAAACGUCUUACAUUAUGGGACAGAGGGAGUAGUUUAGUAACUAGAAAAACAACAAAAGGUUGGUUCACUUUAUUUUCUCAGAAGCUUUUCCGGUUCACCUUGUAAAUGGUUUUUCAGUUGACCUUGUAUAUGCCUUCUCAGUUCAUUGUACAUGUUUCAAAAGGAGCUCCCUUGUUUCAGUAGAUGUGGAGAUUGGUAAAAUCUAAAGUUCAACUUUUCUGAUGGGGCACUUCAUAAAGCAAAGAAAAAACCAAGCAGAG
Molecule: long non-coding RNA, 3758 nt
Organism: Triticum dicoccoides
Lineage: Eukaryota; Viridiplantae; Streptophyta; Magnoliopsida; Poales; Poaceae
Exons: 4
Source: RefSeq, a predicted model, not a curated record